This 465-nucleotide ribosomal RNA is filed under the name uncultured bacterium. RNAcentral describes it as "partial 16S ribosomal RNA". It matches the Rfam family "Bacterial small subunit ribosomal RNA", at positions 28 to 507 of the family's 1533-position model. The record is from RNAcentral.
GACGAACGCUGGCGGCGUGCUUAACACAUGCAAGUCGAACGGAAAGGCCCUGCUUGCAGGGUACUCGAGUGGCGAACGGGGGAGUAACACGUGGGUGAUCUGCCCUGCACUUCGGGAUAAGCCUGGGAAACUGGGUCUAAUACCGGAUAGGAGCCAUUUUUAGUGUGAUGGUUGGAAAGUUUUUUCGGUGUAGGAUGAGCUCGCGGCCUAUCAGCUUGUUGGUGGGGUAAUGGCCUACCAAGGCGGCGACGGGUAGCCGGCCUGAGAGGGUGGACGGCCACAUUGGGACUGAGAUACGGCCCAGACUCCUACGGGAGGCAGCAGUGGGGAAUAUUGCACAAUGGGCGCAAGCCUGAUGCAGCGACGCCGCGUGGGGGAUGACGGCCUUCGGGUUGUAAACUCCUUUCGCUAGGGACGAAGCUUUUUGUGACGGUACCUAGAUAAGAAGCACCGGCUAACUACGUG